GUUCUCUCCGAAAUGCAUCUAGGUGCAGCGUUGUGAUAUAGUGUCGUGGAGGUAGAGCACUGAAUGGGCUAGGGGGCAUACCCGCUUACCAAACCCAAUUAAACUCCGAAUGCCAUUGACAUGUUCUGUAGCAGUGAGGCUAUGUGAGAUAAGUUUCAUAGCCAAGAGGGAAACAACCCAGACCUACAGCUAAGGCCCCUAAAUUUUUACUAAGUGAUAAAGGAUGUAGAUUAGCACAGACAGCUAGGAGGUUGGCUUAGAAGCAGCCAUUCCUUUAAAGAAAGCGUAACAGCUCACUAGUCAAGGUGAUCCGCGCCGAUAAUAACCGGGACUAAAGUAAGAUACCGAAGCUUAGGAUUUCUAUUUAUAGAAGUGGUAGGAGAGCGUUCCAUCAACUGUCGAAGGUUGACCCGUGAGGGCAGCUGGAGGAAAUGGAAAUGAGGAUGCUGGCAUGAGUACACGAUAAAAUACGUGAAAUUCGUAUUCACCGAAAGCCCAAGGUUUCCUGAUCAACGUAAAUCGGAUCAGGGUUAGUCGGCCCCUAAGAUAAGGCCGAAAGGCGUAGUCGAUGGGAAUCAGGCAAUUUAAAUAUUCCUGAACCUCCGAACCUUAAACCAAGACAUCCAUUUACCAGACUUUACUAGCUUAUUGAUUUGUUAGUAAAGAGUAAGAGGUGGCGAGAAAAAGCUUGGUGUACGCUAAGGAGACCGUACCGUAAACCGACACAGGUAGGCGAGAUGAAAAUUCUAAGGUGCUUGAGAGAAUUGUGGUCAAGGAACUCGGCAAAUUGACCCCGUAACUUCGGGAUAAGGGGUGCCCUUGAGGGUGUAGGUCUUUACGACCGAAGCUCCCAGGGGCCGCAGAGAAUUGGCCCGUGCGACUGUUUACUAAAAACACAGGACUCUGCGAACUCGUAAGAGGAUGUAUAGAGUCUGACGCCUGCUCGGUGCCGGUAAGUUAAGGAAGAGGGUUAGCUUUCGGGCAAAGCCAGCGACCGAAGCUCCGGUAAACGGCGGCCGUAACUAUGACGGUCCUAAGGUAGCGAAGUUCCUUGUCGGGUAAGUUCCGACGUGCAUGAAUGGAGUAACGACUGGAGCACUGUCUCCACAACCAACUCGGUGAAAUAGUAGUGGCGGUGAAGAUGCCGCCUACCCGCAGCAAGACGGAAAGACCCCGUGGACCUUUACUGCAGGCAUAUAUUGGUCAUGGACCUGUACUGCGUAGGAUAGGUGGGAGGCUUUGAAG
This 1245-nucleotide ribosomal RNA is filed under the name marine metagenome. Its description in RNAcentral is "bacterial LSU rRNA". It matches the Rfam family "Bacterial large subunit ribosomal RNA", at positions 852 to 2162 of the family's 2925-position model. The record is from RNAcentral.